This 510-nucleotide ribosomal RNA is filed under the name uncultured bacterium. Its description in RNAcentral is "partial 16S ribosomal RNA". It matches the Rfam family "Bacterial small subunit ribosomal RNA", at positions 28 to 507 of the family's 1533-position model. The record is from RNAcentral.
GACGAACGCUGGCGGCGUGCUUAACACAUGCAAGUCGAACGAAGAGCGAUGGAAGCUUGCUUCUAUCAAUCUUAGUGGCGAACGGGUGAGUAACGCGUAAUCAACCUGCCCUUCAGAGGGGGACAACAGUUGGAAACGACUGCUAAUACCGCAUACGAUCUAAUCUCUGCAUCGAGGAUAGAUGAAAGGUGGCCUCUACAUGUAAGCUAUCACUGAAGGAGGGGAUUGCGUCUGAUUAGCUAGUUGGAGGGGUAACGGCCCACCAAGGCGAUGAUCAGUAGGCGGGCUGAGAGGAUGAACGGCCACAUUGGGACUGAGACAAGGCCCAGACUCCUACGGGAGGCAGCAGGGGGGAAUCUUCCGCAAUGGACGAAAGUCUGACGGAGCAACGCCGCGUGAGUGAUGACGGCCUUCGGGUUGUAAAGCUCUGUUAAUCGGGACGAAAGGCCUUCUUGCGAAUAGUGAGAAGGAUUGACGGUACCGGAAUAGAAAGCCACGGCUAACUACGUG